GCAGUCGAGCGGUAGCACAGAGAGCUUGCUCUCGGGUGACGAGCGGCGGACGGGUGAGUAAUGUCUGGGAAACUGCCUGAUGGAGGGGGAUAACUACUGGAAACGGUAGCUAAUACCGCAUAACGUCGCAAGACCAAAGUGGGGGACCUUCGGGCCUCAUGCCAUCAGAUGUGCCCAGAUGGGAUUAGCUAGUAGGUGGGGUAACGGCUCACCUAGGCGACGAUCCCUAGCUGGUCUGAGAGGAUGACCAGCCACACUGGAACUGAGACACGGUCCAGACUCCUACGGGAGGCAGCAGUGGGGAAUAUUGCACAAUGGGCGCAAGCCUGAUGCAGCCAUGCCGCGUGUGUGAAGAAGGCCUUCGGGUUGUAAAGUACUUUCAGCGGGGAGGAAGGCGAUAAGGUUAAUAACCUUGUCGAUUGACGUUACCCGCAGAAGAAGCACCGGCUAACUCCGUGCCAGCAGCCGCGGUAAUACGGAGGGUGCAAGCGUUAAUCGGAAUUACUGGGCGUAAAGCGCACGCAGGCGGUCUGUCAAGUCGGAUGUGAAAUCCCCGGGCUCAACCUGGGAACUGCAUUCGAAACUGGCAGGCUAGAGUCUUGUAGAGGGGGGUAGAAUUCCAGGUGUAGCGGUGAAAUGCGUAGAGAUCUGGAGGAAUACCGGUGGCGAAGGCGGCCCCCUGGACAAAGACUGACGCUCAGGUGCGAAAGCGUGGGGAGCAAACAGGAUUAGAUACCCUGGUAGUCCACGCCGUAAACGAUGUCGAUUUGGAGGUUGUGCCCUUGAGGCGUGGCUUCCGGAGCUAACGCGUUAAAUCGACCGCCUGGGGAGUACGGCCGCAAGGUUAAAACUCAAAUGAAUUGACGGGGGCCCGCACAAGCGGUGGAGCAUGUGGUUUAAUUCGAUGCAACGCGAAGAACCUUACCUGGUCUUGACAUCCACAGAACUUAGCAGAGAUGCUUUGGUGCCUUCGGGAACUGUGAGACAGGUGCUGCAUGGCUGUCGUCAGCUCGUGUUGUGAAAUGUUGGGUUAAGUCCCGCAACGAGCGCAACCCUUAUCCUUUGUUGCCAGCGGUUCGGCCGGGAACUCAAAGGAGACUGCCAGUGAUAAACUGGAGGAAGGUGGGGAUGACGUCAAGUCAUCAUGGCCCUUACGACCAGGGCUACACACGUGCUACAAUGGCAUAUACAAAGAGAAGCGACCUCGCGAGAGCAAGCGGACCUCAUAAAGUAUGUCGUAGUCCGGAUUGGAGUCUGCAACUCGACUCCAUGAAGUCGGAAUCGCUAGUAAUCGUAGAUCAGAAUGCUACGGUGAAUACGUUCCCGGGCCUUGUACACACCGCCCGUCACACCAUGGGAGUGGGUUGCAAAAGAAGUAGGUAGCUUAACCUUCGGGAGGGCGCUA
This 1405-nucleotide ribosomal RNA is filed under the name Klebsiella pneumoniae. RNAcentral's name for it is "bacterial SSU rRNA". It matches the Rfam family "Bacterial small subunit ribosomal RNA". The record is from RNAcentral. Lineage: Bacteria; Pseudomonadati; Pseudomonadota; Gammaproteobacteria; Enterobacterales; Enterobacteriaceae.